RNAcentral lists this ribosomal RNA (755 nucleotides) under Entrophospora etunicata. RNAcentral describes it as "SSU rRNA". It matches the Rfam family "Eukaryotic small subunit ribosomal RNA", at positions 354 to 1114 of the family's 1831-position model. Lineage: Eukaryota; Fungi; Glomeromycota; Glomeromycetes; Entrophosporales; Entrophosporaceae. The record is from RNAcentral.
GGUACGGGUACGGGGAUUAGGGUUCGAUUCCGGAGAGGGAGCCUGAGAAACGGCUACCACAUCCAAGGAAGGCAGCAGGCGCGCAAAUUACCCAAUCCCGACACGGGGAGGUAGUGACAAUAAAUAACAAUACGGGGCUCUUUCGGGUCUCGUAAUUGGAAUGAGUACAAUUUAAAUCCCUUAACGAGGAACAAUUGGAGGGCAAGUCUGGUGCCAGCAGCCGCGGUAAUUCCAGCUCCAAUAGCGUAUAUUAAAGUUGUUGCAGUUAAAAAGCUCGUAGUUGAAUUUCGGGAUUGACACAUCGGUCGUGCCUUAAGGGGUAUGAACUGGUGUAGUCAAUUUCUCACCUUCUGGAGAACCGCGAUGCCCUUAAUUGGGUGUCRCGGGGAACCAGGACCUUUACUUUGAAAAAAUUAGAGUGUUUAAAGCAGGCAUUUUGCUUGAAUACAUUAGCAUGGAAUAAUAAAAUAGGACGGCAUGAUUCUAUUUUGUUGGUUUCUAGGAUCACCGUAAUGAUUAAUAGGGAUAGUUGGGGGCAUUAGUAUUCAAUUGUCAGAGGUGAAAUUCUUGGAUUUAUUGAAGACUAACUACUGCGAAAGCAUUUGCCAAGGAUGUUUUCAUUAAUCAAGAACGAAAGUUAGGGGAUCGAAGACGAUCAGAUACCGUCGUAGUCUUAACCAUAAACUAUGCCGACUAGGAAUCAGACGAUGUUAAUUUUUUAAUGACUCGUUUGGCACCUUACGGGAAACCAANNG